RNAcentral lists this non-coding RNA (215 nucleotides) under Sporolactobacillus inulinus. Its description in RNAcentral is "T-box sequence". It matches the Rfam family "T-box leader". From Rfam's summary of the family: Uncharged tRNA acts as the effector for transcription antitermination of genes in the T-box leader family. Lineage: Bacteria; Bacillati; Bacillota; Bacilli; Caryophanales; Sporolactobacillaceae. The record is from RNAcentral.
AAACGAACGAUGACGAGGUUAAGUAGAGAUCUGUGCACCCGGACAGAGAACGCGGCCAUAGGCUGGAAGCCGCUCGGGAAGCAGAUGAUCGAAUUGCCCCUCUGAGUGGAUCGCCGAAACAGAAAGCAGUAGGCGAAGACGGCAGCCGCCGUUAUCGGCACAGAGUGGAGAUUAUCUCAAACAAAGUGGAACCGCGCCAAAGAGGCGUCUUUGUG